Felis catus (domestic cat) is the source of this 837-nucleotide long non-coding RNA. RefSeq lists it as uncharacterized. The transcript has 3 exons. NCBI's taxonomy places the organism in Eukaryota, Metazoa, Chordata, Mammalia, Carnivora, Felidae. The record is from RefSeq and is a predicted model, not a curated record.
CUGCUGGGGCGCAGGGGGCGCAGAGCGCGCCGCGUGGCGAGAAUGCGAGGCCCGGGGGUGGGGUGCGGGACGCACCACGCCUGGCAGGUCCCCGGUGGCGCACAGACAGCGCCUGGGGAAGAGCUCCGGACCAGGACCAGGGUCGGUGUGCUGGAGUUGCCGACUGGGGAAGGAGACCUGCUCCCCUUUCGCGGGAACUGGGGGCGAAGCGGGCCGCGUGGACCCACCAGGUGCUCGCCCCGGCCGCGCUGUGUUCCUUCCCCUCCCAUGUCCGCCUCUCCCUUGAUUUGCUCCCCGACUAAAUUCUGAGGUGGGACCAGGGCUUUCCAGCUCAUCUCCGUAUCCGGCACACGGCGGUGAUGGCACUAAACGCAGCCACCAUCCACACCGCCCCCCAGCAGCCAGCCGCCCCCGGCAGCCUGUCCCGGUCCCCUCGUGUGCCACAGCAGUGAGACAUUCAGUAAAACUAUGCUGUUUACCAGCCCCUGCCCCGGGGGCCACGGUGGAUAUGGGUCAGGAAGAUACAGUCAAGGACUCCGCAUACCUGGGGUGAUACACACCCCAGCAGGACACUGCCGGACAGAACGCUACCCAAUGGCAAUUGCUGUGAGGAGGCGACCUUGCAUAAUUUUUAAAAAUUGCGGUAAAAUACACAUAACAUAAAAUUUACCGUCUUAACCACUUUUACGUGCAUGGUUAAGUAUCGUUAAAGUGUAUUCGCAUUGCUGUGCAACCAGUCUCCAGAAGUUUUCAUUUUGUGAAACUGAAUUUCAUGCCCGUUAAACAACUGCCCUUGACAGUGACCGUUCCAUUCUCUGGUCCUGUGAUUUUGACUAC